AUGAACGCUGGCGGCGUGCCUAAUACAUGCAGGUCGAGCGAACAGACGAGGAGCUUGCUCCUCUGACGUUAGCGGCGGACGGGUGAGUAACACGUGGAUAACCUACCUAUAAGACUGGGAUAACUUCGGGAAACCGGAGCUAAUACCGGAUAAUAUAUUGAACCGCAUGGUUCAAUAGUGAAAGACGGUUUUGCUGUCACUUAUAGAUGGAUCCGCGCCGCAUUAGCUAGUUGGUAAGGUAACGGCUUACCAAGGCGACGAUGCGUAGCCGACCUGAGAGGGUGAUCGGCCACACUGGAACUGAGACACGGUCCAGACUCCUACGGGAGGCAGCAGUAGGGAAUCUUCCGCAAAGGGCGAAAGCCUGACGGAGCAACGCCGCGUGAGUGAUGAAGGUCUUCGGAUCGUAAAACUCUGUCAUUAGGGAAGAACAAAUGUGUAAGUAACUAUGCACGUCUUGACGGUACCUAAUCAGAAAGCCACGGCUAACUACGUG
Molecule: ribosomal RNA, 496 nt
Filed under: uncultured bacterium
Lineage: Bacteria
Description: partial 16S ribosomal RNA
Rfam family: Bacterial small subunit ribosomal RNA
Source: RNAcentral